This 24-nucleotide small RNA is filed under the name Brassica napus (rape). Its description in RNAcentral is "PsRNA_43". The record is from RNAcentral. Lineage: Eukaryota; Viridiplantae; Streptophyta; Magnoliopsida; Brassicales; Brassicaceae.
AACUAAAAUGACUAAAAUAGCAUC